This 935-nucleotide ribosomal RNA is filed under the name bacterium enrichment culture clone PAH64-P1. RNAcentral describes it as "bacterial SSU rRNA". It matches the Rfam family "Bacterial small subunit ribosomal RNA", at positions 43 to 966 of the family's 1533-position model. The record is from RNAcentral.
UAUGCUUAACACAUGCAAGUCGAACGGCAGCACGAGAGAGCUUGCUCUCUUGGUGGCGAGUGGCGGACGGGUGAGUAACGCGUAAGAAUCUGCCUAGUAGUGGGGGAUAACUCGGGGAAACUCGAGCUAAUACCGCAUACGCCCUACGGGGGAAAGUGGGGGACCUUCGGGCCUCACGCUAUUAGAUGAGCUUGCGUUGGAUUAGCUAGUUGGUGAGGUAAUGGCUCACCAAGGCGACGAUCCAUAGCUGGUCUGAGAGGACGAUCAGCCACACUGGGACUGAGACACGGCCCAGACUCCUACGGGAGGCAGCAGUGGGGAAUAUUGGACAAUGGGCGCAAGCCUGAUCCAGCAAUACCGCGUGUGUGAAGAAGGCCUGCGGGUUGUAAAGCACUUUCAAUUGUGAAGAAAAGCUUGGGGUUAAUAGCCCCGAGUCUUGACGUUAACUUUAGAAGAAGCACCGGCUAACUCUGUGCCAGCAGCCGCGGUAAUACAGAGGGUGCGAGCGUUAAUCGGAAUUACUGGGCGUAAAGCGUGCGUAGGCGGUUUAGUAAGUCAGAUGUGAAAGCCCUGGGCUUAACCUGGGAACUGCAUUUGAAACUGCUGAACUAGAGUGUGGUAGAGGGAAGUGGAAUUCCGGGUGUAGCGGUGAAAUGCGUAGAUAUCCGGAGGAACACCAGUGGCGAAGGCGACUUCCUGGACCAACACUGACGCUGAGGUACGAAAGCGUGGGUAGCAAACAGGAUUAGAUACCCUGGUAGUCCACGCCGUAAACGAUGUCAACUAGUUGUUGGGAGCAUUCUGGCUUUUAGUAACGUAGCUAACGCGAUAAGUUGACCGCCUGGGGAGUACGGCCGCAUGGUUAAAACUCAAAGGAAUUGACGGGGGCCCGCACAAGCGGUGGAGCAUGUGGUUUAAUUCGAUGCAACGCGAAG